CUCUGCUAUCACUGUUUGUGCCUGAUGGAGAUGAAGAAUCCUCAUUCUGAAGCAACGACAACAUUAGGCCAGUGCAAGAAAAACAGGAGAAAUUGCGGCAGUACACCCGCCUUAUUGGCAAAGAGCACAGCUUCUGGAUUUUCCAUCUGGGGAGUAGGAUUCAACAAGGGAUGAAUUACAAAUCUGUAAUUUCAUGCUAUGUGUAAUGGCUAUCCCAUGUUACUGCUUCUGCAUAUUAUUAGAUCUUAAUUUUA
Xenopus laevis (African clawed frog) is the source of this 254-nucleotide long non-coding RNA. RefSeq lists it as uncharacterized. The transcript is spliced from 2 exons. NCBI's taxonomy places the organism in Eukaryota, Metazoa, Chordata, Amphibia, Anura, Pipidae. The record is from RefSeq and is a predicted model, not a curated record.